RNAcentral lists this ribosomal RNA (275 nucleotides) under uncultured bacterium. Its description in RNAcentral is "partial 16S ribosomal RNA". It matches the Rfam family "Bacterial small subunit ribosomal RNA", at positions 68 to 339 of the family's 1533-position model. The record is from RNAcentral.
AGCAUGUUGGUUGCUUGCAACCAAUGAUGGCGACCGGCGGAAGGGUGCGUAACGCGUGAGCGACAUGCCCGUUGCCCGUGGACAACCGGUGGAAACGCCGACUAAUCCACGAUGGGACGAGUUGCUGCAUGGCAGCUCGUUGAAAGUUACGGCGGCGACGGAUUGGCUCGCGUCCGAUUAGCUGGUUGGCGGGGUAACGGCCCACCAAGGCUACGAUCGGUAGGGGUUCUGAGAGGAAGGUCCCCACAAUGGAACUGAGACACGGCCCAUACUCC